CCCUUAGAUGUUCUGGGCAGCACGCGCGCUACAAUGGUCUUCGCAAACGGAUGCAUUCUCGAAGGAGAAUGCCAAUCUUGGAAUCUAUGCCUUGGUCGGGACAGUUGCUUGCAAUUUUUCGACUCGAACCAGGAAUUCCUUGUAAUCGUGAUUCAUCACAUCACGAUGAAUACGUCCCUGCCCUUUGUACACACCGCCCGUCGCUCCUACCGAUUGGGUGUGCUGGUGAAAUGUUCGGAUCGGCCGUUUGUCGCGGUUUCCGCGUCAUGUGGCUGAGAAGUUCAUUAAACCCUCCCACCGAGAGGAAGGAGAAGUCGUAACA
This 322-nucleotide ribosomal RNA is filed under the name uncultured eukaryote. RNAcentral's name for it is "partial 18S ribosomal RNA". It matches the Rfam family "Eukaryotic small subunit ribosomal RNA", at positions 1470 to 1796 of the family's 1831-position model. The record is from RNAcentral.